This 459-nucleotide ribosomal RNA is filed under the name uncultured bacterium. Its description in RNAcentral is "partial 16S ribosomal RNA". It matches the Rfam family "Bacterial small subunit ribosomal RNA", at positions 338 to 795 of the family's 1533-position model. The record is from RNAcentral.
CCUACGGGUGGCAGCAGUGAGGAAUAUUGGUCAAUGGACGAGAGUCUGAACCAGCCAAGUAGCGUGAAGGAUGACUGCCCUAUGGGUUGUAAACUUCUUUUAUAUGGGAAUAAAAUGUUCCACGUGUGGGCUUUUGUAUGUACCAUAUGAAUAAGGAUCGGCUAACUCCGUGCCAGCAGCCGCGGUAAUACGGAGGAUGCGAGCGUUAUCCGGAUUUAUUGGGUUUAAAGGGAGCGUAGGUGGCUUGUUAAGUCAGCGGUAAAAUCCCGGGGCUCAACCCCGGCGAGCCGUUGAAACUGGCGGGCUGGAGUUGGAGAGAAGUACGCGGAAUGCGCGGUGUAGCGGUGAAAUGCUUAGAUAUCGCGAAGAACCCCGAUUGCGAAGGCAGCGUACCGGCUCCACACUGACGCUGAGGCACGAAAGCGUGGGUAUCGAACAGGAUUAGAUACCCGAGUAGUC